Molecule: ribosomal RNA, 484 nt
Filed under: uncultured bacterium
Lineage: Bacteria
Description: partial 16S ribosomal RNA
Rfam family: Bacterial small subunit ribosomal RNA
Source: RNAcentral
AUUGAACGCUGGCGGCAUGCUUUACACAUGCAAGUCGAACGGCAGCGCGGGCUUCGGCCUGGCGGCCAGUGGCGAACGGGUGAGUAAUGCAUCGGAACGUGCCCAGUAGCGGGGUAUAGCCCGGCGAAAGCCGGAUUAAUACCGCAUACGACCUUAGGGUGAAAGCGGGGGACCGAAAGGCCUCGCGCUAUUGGAGCAGCCGAUGUCGGAUUAGCUAGUUGGUGGGGUAAAGGCUUACCAAGGCGACGAUCCGUAGCUGAUCUGAGAGGAGGACCAGCCACACUGGAACUGAGACACGGUCCAGAGUCCUACGGGAGGCAGCAGUGGGGAAUUUUGGACAAUGGGGGCAAGCCUGAUCCAGCCAUGGCGCGUGCGGGAAGAAGGCCUUCGGGUUGUAAAGCGCUUUUGUUGGGGAAGAAAUCCUGUGGGCUAAUACCCAGCGGGGAUGACGGUACCGGAAGAAUAAGCACCGGCUAACUACGUG